UUGACCCUGGAGCACAUGCAAGUGAGUAUGCAGACAUGAGUAACGUUAAGCCGGGUGAAAUCCCCGGCCGCCGUAAACCCGAGGUUUCCAGGGCAACGUGUUUCGUCCCUGGGUUAGCCGGGACCUAAGCCGAGGCCGAGAGGCGUAGGCGAUGGACAUCAGGUUAAUAAUCCUGAGCUCGCAACCCUUAAACUGGGGGGACGCAUGAGAAAAGAUGACUAGGUUAUUGAAUUCCGAGUUGAGUCCACGGACUCAGCGCAUCAUUGGAUCGAGUGCCAAGAAAAGCCCCAGCGUAUGCUAAGCGACCCGUACCGCAAACCGACACAGGUGGGUGGGUAGAAUAUACCAAGGCGUAAGAGUGAAACCUGGUUAAGGAACUCGGCAAAUUAGCCCCGUAACUUCGGAAGAAGGGGUGCCUGCAGCGAUGCAGGCCGCAGAGAAAUGGCCCAACCGACUGUUUAUCAAAAACACAGCACUCUGCAAAGACGCAAGUCGAAGUAUAGGGUGUGACACGUGACCAAUGCCGAAAGAUUAAGGCAAGGGGUUAGCCGCAAGGCGAAGCUCUAAACCCAAGUCCCGGUGAAUGUCGGCCGUAACAAUAACGGUCCUAAGGUAGCGAAAUUCCUUGUCGGGUAAGUUCCGACCUGCACGAAUCGUGAAACGAGUUGGGCACUGUCUCAACCAGGCGCUCAGUGAAAUUGUAGUGGCGGUGAAGAUGCCGCCUACCCGCAGAAGGACGGAAAGACCCUAUAGACCUUAACUGUAAGCUGUCAUUGUUUCUUCGGUUUUAAUGCUCAGAGUAAGUGGGAGACGCUGAAGACGCCCUUUAGGGGGCGUCCGAGUCAUCAAUGAGACACCACCCUUUGAAACUGGAGGAUCUAACCCUGAGCCGUGAAUCCGGCCAGAGGACCGUGUCAGCCGGUCAGUUUUACUGGGGCGGUAUCCUCCCAAAGAGUAACGGAGGAGCGCGAAGGUGGGCUCAGCCCGGUUGGCAACCGGGUGUCGAGUGCAUGGGCAUAAGCCCGCCUAACUGUGAGACCAACAAGUCGAGCAGAUGCGAAAGCAGGCCCAAGUGAUCCGGCGGUAGAAAGUGGAAUUGCCGUCGCUCAACGGAUAAAAGGUACCUUAGGGAUAACAGGCUGAUCACGCCCAAGAGUUCAUAUCGACGGCGUGGUUUGGCACCUCGAUGUCGGCUCGUCGCAUCCUGGGGCUGGAGAAGGUCCCAAGGGUCCGGCUGUUCGCCGGUUAAAGCGGCACGCGAGCUGGGUUCAGAACGUCGCGAGACAGUUCGGUCCUCUAUCCUCUGUGGGCGUUGGAAAAUUGAGGGGUUCAGACCUUAGUACGAGAGGACCGGGUCUGACGCACCACUGGUGCAUCGGUUGUACUGUCAAGUGCAUGGCCGAGUAGCUAAGUGCGGACGGGAUAAGCGCUGAAAGCAUCUAAGCGCCAAGCCCUUCCCAAGAUGAGUUUUCCCUACAGGUUCGUGGAAGACCACCACGUUGAUAGGUCGCAGGUGUAAGUGCAGCAAUGUAUUGAGCCGAGCGAUACUAAUUACCG
Molecule: ribosomal RNA, 1557 nt
Filed under: metagenome
Description: bacterial LSU rRNA
Rfam family: Bacterial large subunit ribosomal RNA
Source: RNAcentral